CAGAGGUGGCAAGCGUUGUUCGGAAUUACUGGGCGUAAAGGGCGCGUAGGCGGUUCGUUAAGUCCUGUGUGAAAUCCCCCGGCUCAACUGGGGAACUGCACAGGAAACUAGCGGGCUUGAGUUCGGGAGAGGGAAGCGGAAUUCCGGGUGUAGCGGUGAAAUGCGUAGAUAUCCGGAGGAACACCGGUGGCGAAGGCGGCUUCCUGGACCGACACUGACGCUGAGGCGCGAAAGCUAGGGGAGCAAACGGGAUUAGAUACCCCGGUAGUCCUAGCUGUAAACGAUGAGUGCUGGGUGUAGGGGUAUUAACCCCCCCUGUGCCGAAGCUAACGCAUUAAGCACUCCGCCUGGGGAGUACGGUCGCAAGGCUG
This 371-nucleotide ribosomal RNA is filed under the name uncultured organism. Its description in RNAcentral is "bacterial SSU rRNA". It matches the Rfam family "Bacterial small subunit ribosomal RNA", at positions 526 to 896 of the family's 1533-position model. The record is from RNAcentral.